AGGAUGUUGGCUUAUAAGCAGCCAUCAUUUAAAGAAAGCGUAAUAGCUCACUGGUCGAGUCGGUCUGCGGGGAAGAUUUAACGGGGCUAAGCAGUGAACCGAAGCUUGGGGUGCAUAACUUUGUUAUGCGCGGUAGAGGAGCGUUCCGUAAGCCGUUGAAGGUGGAUUGAGAAGUCUGCUGGAGGUAUCGGAAGUGCGAAUGCUGACAUGAGUAACGAUAAUGCGGGUGAAAAGCCCGCACGCCGUAAGCCCAAGGUUUCCUGUUCAACGUUCAUCGGAGCAGGGUGAGUCGGCCCCUAAGGCGAGGCUGAAAAGCGUAGUCGAUGGGAAACAG
This 334-nucleotide ribosomal RNA is filed under the name Chaetoceros curvisetus. RNAcentral's name for it is "partial Bacterial large subunit ribosomal RNA". It matches the Rfam family "Bacterial large subunit ribosomal RNA", at positions 1095 to 1428 of the family's 2925-position model. The record is from RNAcentral. Lineage: Eukaryota; Bacillariophyta; Thalassiosirophyceae; Chaetocerotales; Chaetocerotaceae.